CCCGACUGCUAUUUGGGUGAGAAUAAGCCAUGCGAGUUGAAUGGGAUACCUAAAGCUCCCAUAGCAAACUGCUCAGUAACACAUGAUCAACUUACCCUAUAGAGAAAAAUAACCUCGGGAAACUGAGGAUAAUAUUUCAUAGUUGAAUAGGCUUGGAAAAGUUUUUCAAUAAAAGGGAUAAAAAAAAUGGUUUUUAUCUGCUAUAGGAUAGGAUCGUGGACGAUUAUGGUUGUUGGUGAGGUAACGGCUCACCAAGCCGAUAAUCGAUAGGGGCCGUGAGAGCGGGAGCCCCGAGAUGGGUACUGAGACAACGACCCAGGCCUUACGAGGCGCAGCAGGCGCGGAACCUCCGCAAUACACGAAAGUGUGACGGGGUUACCCAAAGUGUUCAAUUCUGAACUGUGGUAGGUGAGUAAUGUUCCCUACUAGAAAGGAGAGGGCAAGGCUGGUGCCAGCCGCCGCGGUAAAACCAGCUCUUCAAGUGGUCGGGAUAAUAUUGGGCUUAAAGUGUCCGUAGCCGGUUUAGUAAGUUCCUGGUAAAAUCGGGUAGCUUAACUAUCUGUAUGCUAGGAAUACUGCUAUACUAGAGGGCGGGAGAGGUCUGAGGUACUACAGGGGUAGGGGUGAAAUCUUAUAAUCCUUGUAGGACCACCAGUGGCGAAGGCGUCAGACUGAACGCGCCUGACGGUGAGGGACGAAAGCCAGGGGAGCGAACCGGAUUAGAUACCCGGGUAGUCCUGGCCGUAAACGAUGCAUACUAGGUGAUGGUACGGCCAUGAGCCAUAUCAGUGCCGUAGGGAAACCGUUAAGUGUGCCGCCUGGGAAGUACGGUCGCAAGGCAAAAACUUAAAGGAAUUGGCGGGGGAGCACCACAAGGGGUGAAGCCUGCGGUUCA
Molecule: ribosomal RNA, 895 nt
Filed under: uncultured archaeon
Lineage: Archaea
Description: bacterial SSU rRNA
Rfam family: Archaeal small subunit ribosomal RNA
Source: RNAcentral